This 86-nucleotide transfer RNA is filed under the name Thelephora terrestris. It matches the Rfam family "tRNA". From Rfam's summary of the family: Transfer RNA (tRNA) molecules are approximately 80 nucleotides in length. Their secondary structure includes four short double-helical elements and three loops (D, anti-codon, and T loops). Further hydrogen bonds mediate the characteristic L-shaped molecular structure. tRNAs have two regions of fundamental functional importance: the anti-codon, which is responsible for specific mRNA codon recognition, and the 3' end, to which the tRNAs corresponding amino acid is attached (by aminoacyl-tRNA synthetases). tRNAs cope with the degeneracy of the genetic code in two manners: having more than one tRNA (with a specific anti-codon) for a particular amino acid; and 'wobble' base-pairing, i.e. permitting non-standard base-pairing at the 3rd anti-codon position. The record is from Rfam by way of RNAcentral. Lineage: Eukaryota; Fungi; Basidiomycota; Agaricomycetes; Thelephorales; Thelephoraceae.
GCCCGCGUAGCUCAAUUGGAUAGAGCGUCAGACUCUUAAAUACGCGGGCGAUCUGAAGGCUGCGAGUUCGACCCUCGCCGUGGGCU